GACCCAACUUUUCGAGCUCUCUCUCUCUCUCUCUCUCUAAAUCUCAGAACGAUUUCGAAGCUCCACCACUGUCUCUCUUUCUCUCUCUAAAUCUCUCUCUCAACUCUCUCUAAACCCUUAUCAGAGCCAUUCAGAGAUUCAUCUCAGUGAUUUCAUCACAAAGAUUCAGAGCGAUUUCAUCUCAGUGAUUUCAUCGCAGAGAUUCAGAGAUUCAGAUCGGUCUCCACCAUCUGCACCAUCGUCUACAUCAUCAUCUACACCAUCGUCUCCUAAGUUAGCCCCAAUCCAAGAUUGAUCCAUAUGAGGUUAGGGCCCGUGCUAAACAGGUUGUGCAAGAUCAGCGCCGUCUGAAGGUCACUAUGUUGUAAUAUGUGGCUAUGAUGCUAUGACAGAUGAGUUUGAGAUUAGAGAUCCAGCGAGCUCUGGGAAACAUGAGAAGGUCACAUCAAAGCGCCUAGAAGAAGCUCGCAAAUCCUUUGGAAUUGAUGAAGAUCUUCUCUUGAUAUCUUUGGAGAAGGGAGAGAAUCAGAACACCCAUUCGGUACAGCUCUCUUCGCUCGUCACUUUUGAUAGAUGACAUUCUUGUAUUUUGUUUACUCGUUCAUCCAUUCAUUACAUAUAUAUAUAUCAUUAUUUGUCGAUGUAUAAUUUGCGCCUGUAGCCAAUUUUAGUGUGAACUUAUAGGAUAAUAAUCCCUGUAUUUAGGUGUCCAUGUAUGUCUUAGUUCAAAUUAUUCAACUUAAAUAAUAAUCGUAUCUUUUUCUUUGGUGUCAAGAAGAACAUGAUUGGUUCUAGUGGAUUAGAUGAUGAUAUACAGAACAAUCAUAAGGGGCUCCCAUAAACU
Camellia sinensis is the source of this 844-nucleotide non-coding RNA. NCBI's taxonomy places the organism in Eukaryota, Viridiplantae, Streptophyta, Magnoliopsida, Ericales, Theaceae. The record is from RefSeq and is a predicted model, not a curated record.